This 603-nucleotide long non-coding RNA is filed under the name Sus scrofa (pig). RNAcentral describes it as "lncRNA (ENSSSCG00035053057.1)". The record is from RNAcentral. Lineage: Eukaryota; Metazoa; Chordata; Mammalia; Artiodactyla; Suidae.
GUCAGCCAGGCCCAGCCCAGCCCCUGAAGGAGGCAGACCCAUGGGAACCAGAAUAUUUCCUAAUCCUGGGAAGCCCUGACAGGCCCCUGCGAGCAGUCUUCCUUCCGCCUCACCCCAAGUCCUCUCCGUGCUCCCUCUUCAGGGCCCCUCCCACUGCGCCCUUCAUUCUUCUCCAGCCCAGAAGCUGUUGUGACGGUGACUCGGCCUCCACUCCUCCUGGCCCCUCCUCGCCAGGGACUUCCCUGGGGUGGGCCUCUCACCAGCUUUGGAAAAUCUGGGCUGUUUGUGAUCAAACAGGAGGCUGCCUCACUGCACGCCCCAGGCUCGCUCUCUCUGUUAGAGGCCCGACCACAGAAAGGUCCAGCUGGCUCUGGAGGAGAGCAGGGACUAGAGAGAAAAAGGCGAGCUGAGAAGGCCGGGCAAGAAGAGGAGGGCAGGAAGAGGAAAUCGGAAAUGGAGGAAGAGAAGGCAAGAGGAGGUGGGGGAUUCCAGCGCCCAGGGUCCUGAGGAAAUCACCGGAGGGCCAGCCCACAUCCUCCUGCCCCUGGUUCGUAUCCCAUCUGUUUCCACUUAGUUUCUGCGGCUUCUCUACAGGCAAGGAAA